RNAcentral lists this ribosomal RNA (225 nucleotides) under uncultured prokaryote. RNAcentral describes it as "partial 16S ribosomal RNA". It matches the Rfam family "Bacterial small subunit ribosomal RNA", at positions 524 to 748 of the family's 1533-position model. The record is from RNAcentral.
UACAGAGGGUGCAAGCGUUGUUCGGAAUUAUUGGGCGUAAAGCGUGCGCAGGCGGUUAUGCAAGACAGAUGUGAAAUCCCCGGGCUCAACCUGGGAACUGCAUUUGUGACUGCAUGGCUAGAGUACGGUAGAGGGGGAUGGAAUUCCGCGUGUAGCAGUGAAAUGCGUAGAUAUGCGGAGGAACACCGAUGGCGAAGGCAAUCCCCUGGACCUGUACUGACGCUC